RNAcentral lists this ribosomal RNA (301 nucleotides) under uncultured bacterium. RNAcentral's name for it is "partial 16S ribosomal RNA". It matches the Rfam family "Bacterial small subunit ribosomal RNA", at positions 509 to 809 of the family's 1533-position model. The record is from RNAcentral.
CAGCCGCCGCGGUAAUACGUAGGGCGCAAGCGUUAUCCGGAAUUAUUGGGCGUAAAGAGCUCGUAGGCGGUUUGUCGCGUCUGCCGUGAAAGUCCGGGGCUCAACCCCGGAUCUGCGGUGGGUACGGGCAGACUAGAGUGAUGUAGGGGAGACUGGAAUUCCUGGUGUAGCGGUGAAAUGCGCAGAUAUCAGGAGGAACACCGAUGGCGAAGGCAGGUCUCUGGGCAUUAACUGACGCUGAGGAGCGAAAGCAUGGGGAGCGAACAGGAUUAGAUACCCCCGUAGUCCUGUCUCUUAUACA